This is a long non-coding RNA of Oreochromis niloticus (Nile tilapia), 4306 nucleotides long. NCBI's taxonomy places the organism in Eukaryota, Metazoa, Chordata, Actinopteri, Cichliformes, Cichlidae. The record is from Ensembl.
GGGAUAAGCAUUUACAUAGAAAAUCUGUAUGUCACCCGGACUUGGCUUGCACCCUAUGGCUGUUAUCCAUUGCAGUCCUUUCCUACUGAUGCUCAGAGGAUGGACAUCAUAGUUCUCCCUCUCUGGACACCUGGUCAUUUCCAGUUGUGUGUAAGUCUUGUUUUUUGACACAUACAAACUGUUAGAAUUUUGCUAUGUGUCUGAGAUGUAUUCAAGCUUUUAUGACGCAGUUUCAAAAGUCUUUGAUUGUGAUCGCUUGCAAUGACAUUGUCUUCAGGUUUGAAGUCAUGGCUAACUGUCUUUUAGGUACUGAGGCCACCUAAAAGAGAAAUCCUCUUUCUUGACCCAUUAUACACAAAGGCAGGAUUUGGUGGCCAACAAUAUGUUUCACUUUUGAGGUCACAUUUUUGGUUUGUUCCAGAAUUUUCAGGUGUUCCAGGUUAAGUGCAUCCCAGAUCAUGUUCUGCUGAUCUUGAGUGUUCACACAUACAGUACACUCACAUGCUUUUUUUAUAAACUAUAUCAGCAUGAUGCUUCAACAUUUUAUUCUAUUUCUCAUCUUCACAUUCUGAUCAAGUCAGUGAUGCUGUCUUUAGAUGAGUUUCUGACAUAAAUAGGGUCUUCAAAUGUUCUAGUUUAACAUAAAACACCAUUAAAUAUUAGUUUAUAAAAUAUGCCAACCUUAAAUUAAAGCUGAAAAUGCUUUUUGACCAACUGUGAGCAUGUGACUGUACUUUUUCAUUUUGUUAUGUUGUUUUGUUGAGGUCGUGUUCCUAAGGCCUGUAGUUACAGUUGGUGCUAUUAGCAAUAAACAUUUCACACCAUCAUGAUGAUGUCUGUUAACUUGUGAAUGUAACUGUCUUGAAAAAAAAGGAAUCUUGCAGUGAAGAUCAUUCCCGGGCAGUGGUCAGAAAAAAAGAGCUUUGACUUGAAGGGUUUUCCAAGCCAAGACUAUGGAGUUGACUGUGGGAUCUUCAUGCUGAUGUCAGACAUGCCCUACUUGCGUAAAUGGUGGUGCUUGCUGUUGAUGGAGAACUUUGAUCUCAGAAGCUCUGGCAAGCUAUUUGCACACUGGAGAGAGGAAGCCAAAGCUGUGCUUGAAGGACAACACGUGCCCAUUUUCAGACUGAAAAAGCGCAAGUUCCAGGAAGUCAGUCAGGAGCCAGCAGUUGUUGAAGAUCUGCGUCCUGCUGUGCAGUGGGUUGUCCAAAAUAAGGCACUUUUCCGUGGACACGUAACAAUGCCAAAAUAUCUGUCCUUAAAUCAAGGGGACCAGCAGAGGGUCUUAAGAGACAUGUCAGAGGAAGAAGACACUGGAGCAAGGCACUUGUUCCUCUUUGUUUUUCAGUUUGCAGAAGACAUGGAGCUCUUUUUGAAAGCAUGUGCUGAUGAGCAGGGACUAAGGGUCAGUGCUAUGUUUGACAUGUAAUGGACAAAUAAAGGCACUGGCUGUUUGUUAUAUUUGUUUCUUUGUUUAAUAUGUCAUUGUUGUUGUUUUUGUUUUGUUUUUGCAUAGUACAAAAUUCCAAUUAAACUUAUUUCAAAAUGUUGUUCACUUGAUUCUAUGUCCAUACUUUUAAUAAAGGAUUACAGUGUAACAGCAUAAGCACUCUGGGCUCUAUCCUGGCCAUUUGUGGCCACUUCACUUAUUCUUUUUUUUUUUUUGACUGCUGCACUGCAGUGGACCAAAAGAAUGACACGGGUUUGAUCUUAAGGAUCUAAUAGUUGUGUGUGUUGUGCAUGACAUUGCCACACAAAUGUAUUUGCAAGCUAGAGUAGAAUAAAUUAUGACGCAUCAAAUAUUACAUAGGCUGCAGUGAGUUUUUGUUGAUACAGACUAUUGAGCUUUGAGUUUCCCAGUCAAACUUAGCUUUGAAGCACAUGCUAAAAACACUUUUACUCUUGUACACUUCAUAACAAGACACCAUAGCCAAAAUAUUAACAAAAUAUAUAUUAAUAAAAAAUUCAAAGCUGCAGCACAUACAGCAACAAACACUGUUAGUAAAUGUGUCCUGGAGUUUAUGCAGGUGCAGAAAGUGCUGCUGCUGUAAGUAAGCCUAACAGCUUCCAGAUCACUUAUUUUUCUGGAAAGAUGGUAGGAAGGGCAUCACUGCUCAUUUCUACAGUCUCCCAGAUCUUGGAAUACAAUGCCUUUGUCCCAUGAAACCACUUCACAGUACUAGGAGUCCACUAAAACCUAUAAAGAGAGUGAUCCUGGAAGAAAUGGGGCACACACUAGUGACCUCAACAAUUGCAAGACAGCCUAUUCCCCGAUGCUCAGAUGGGGGGGAAAAAAAAGGAAGUUUCAUGAAAACAUUAGGACUUUAUCACCGUUUUAUCUGAAAAGUUAAUGGUAAUAUCUAACCUAACUGGCUAUAAAGACUAAAAAAUUUAAAUACAAUUUUGAUUUUAAAGAGUCACGUCGGUAAAAGUAGAUAAAUGUUUUAAGAAAUAUACAUUUUAUAGCAUUUUGUGAACAUACACAAAAAGUGGCCAUUUUUGGCAACGAACAAACUGAGAGAAAGUUUUAUAUUUUUUGCUCUCCUUGAACAAAAAUAACAGUGCAUAAUAAUCAGUGUUGAUGUUAAUCAAUUAAAUGUCCCAGACUCUACUAUUAAUAAUACAGCAGUCCCUCGUUUAUCGCAGGAGUUACGUUCUAAAAAUAACCCGCGGUAGGUGAAAUCCCUGAAGUAGCCAACUUUAUUUUUUACAAUUAUAGAUGUUAAGACUGUAAAACCCCUCACCACAUGCUUUAUACACUUUUCUCAGACAGGCAUGAACAUUUUCACACUUUUCUCUUUUGUUUAAACACUCUUAGAGUUCAAACCUUCGUAGAAACAUAAGUCCAGUAUUAUGGAAUGAAACCAAAAGGUGCCUUUGGCGGUGCAAAACGUAUCGUCGGCAUUGUUGUGUUUGUUUGGGAGAAAACCUACAAACAUACAUUACAGCACUUCAGAGUUACACUGCUAGAAGAUUUAUGUAAAUUCGACAAGCUAAACGCAUUCUGUACUGUACAGCAGCAGUCCCCAACCUUUUUUGCACCACGGACCACUUUAAUGUCAGACAAUAUUUUCAGGGAACGACCUUUAAGGUGUCGCGGAUAAAUACAACAAAAGAAUAAAAAAGAAACUGUGGUAUUUUGUAAAUAUAAUAAUAAACGUGACUUGAGCUGUGCGCCAACAACAAUGACAGUGACAUCCUCCUCUCUGCUUCUUAAUGCUCUCUGGUCGCUAUGGUAACGCGUAAAUAGUUCUUUCAAAAUAAGACACACAACUACAACCAUACAUUUCACACCGGAGCCUCAACUCUCGCGGAACGGUACCAAAGGACUCACGGACCGGUACCGGUCCGUGGGCCUAUUAGGGGCCGCUACUGUACAGGAGACACUGGACUAGAUUGAUUGACAAUGGUCUACAGCAAUCAGAACGCACAACACGAUGUACUGUAAAAAAAAAAAAAAAAUCAGUGAAACAGCGAGUGUCGUGGAAGGUGCGCCGCGUUAUAGCACUUUUGGCCACGAACAAUUUAGGGGAUGGUGAAUUUUUUUGAACAAACCCAGAGUGUUAAAAAACCCCCACUUAAAACCAUUUUUAUUUCUCAGCAGCAUCAAUAGUAACAAAAACACAAUUUAGUUUUCGCUGUCAAAGUCGAUUUAACUGAAGUUAUGUGUUUCCGGUUAUUGUGGAGGUCACGUGUUUCCGGUUAGUGUGGAGGUCACGUGUAUCCGGUUACUGUGGAGCUCCACAGUGGCUGCAGCCAGGUGCUCUUGCUUCAUCCAGCCACUCGACUCCGGACUUCCAGCAGGUAAGUAUGCUGGCUUCCCUUCCUCUCAAUUCUGAGUUUUUCCCCUCUUUUGUCCGUCGAUUUCUCGGUUUGAGUAGCAGAUGCCUCCACUCCUCUUGCUGAGAUGAGAAAAACCCGGGAGCACCAUGCACUUUCACCUCUCUUCCUGGCUGACAGGGUCAAUGCGGCCUGGGUAGGCGCUGAUUGGUCGCUGAGCUAGGUGCCCUCACGUGGGGUGAACUGAGAGGUGCAUUCAAUGGUCAUAGGAAAUAUGACGCUUUGUUGAUGUGUACAGUUAAAAUAAAGAGGAUAGAUACUCUCUCUUCUCUACCAUUGGUUUAAAUAUGAGUUUUUCCAUCUGGGCUACACCUGCCUAAUAUUUUUUCCCUGCGUAUUCAUUACUUUUCCGCUUAGACUUGUUCAGGUCCACUCAGGCCAUCUGAACUAUCUGUUUGAAGACAGUGAAUCGUGAUCUGAUUCAUGAUCUAAUUUUUAACGUCUUCAAACUAUGCAGUUACUCCAU